RNAcentral lists this ribosomal RNA (1396 nucleotides) under Staphylococcus sp. RNAcentral's name for it is "bacterial SSU rRNA". It matches the Rfam family "Bacterial small subunit ribosomal RNA". Lineage: Bacteria; Bacillati; Bacillota; Bacilli; Caryophanales; Staphylococcaceae. The record is from RNAcentral.
GGGAAUUGGCGGGCUGCUAUACAUGCAGUCAGAUAAAUACAAGGAGCUUGCUUCCUUUACUAAAGGAGCGACGUGGUGUAGUCAACACUGGUGGAACCCCAUAACAGCUGGAAUAAUCCGGGAACCGGGGGUAACCGGAAACAUUAGACCGCAGGUUUAAAAGUGAAGAUGGUUUGCUAUACAUAAGAGGACCCGCGCCCUAUUAAGUGUUGGUAAGGUAAGGCUUACCAAGGCCAACGAUAAGUGCCAACUGAGAGGGUGAUCGGCCCACAACUGGAAUGAGACACGGUCCAGAUCUACGGGAGGCAGCAGUAGGGAAUCUUCCGCAAUGGGCGAAAGCCUGACGGAGCAACGCCGCUGAGUGAUGAAGGGUUUCGGCUCGUAAAACUCUGUUAUUAGGGAAGAACAAACGUGUAAGUAACUGUGCACGUCUUGACGGUACCUAAUCAGAAAGCCACGGCUAACUACGUGCCAGCAGCCGCGGUAAUACGUAGGUGGCAGCGUUAUCCGGAAUUAUUGGGCGUAAAGCGCGCGUAGGCGGUUUCUUAAGUCUGAUGUGAAAGCCCACGGCUCAACCGUGGAGGGUCAUUGGAAACUGGGAGACUUGAGUGCAGAAGAGGAAAGUGGAAUUCCAUGUGUAGCGGUGAAAUGCGCAGAGAUAUGGAGGAACACCAGUGGCGAAGGCGACUUUCUGGUCUGUAACUGACGCUAUGUGCGAAAGCGUGGGGAUCAAACAGGAUUAGAUACCCUGGUAGUCCACGCCGUAAACGAUGAGUGCUAAGUGUUAGGGGGUUUCCGCCCCUUAGUGCUGCAGCUAACGCAUUAAGCACUCCGCCUGGGGAGUACGACCGCAAGGUUGAAACUCAAAGGAAUUGACGGGGACCCGCACAAGCGGUGGAGCAGUGGUUUAAUUCGAAGCAACGCGAGAACUUACCAAAUCUUGACAUCCUUUGACCACUCUAGAGAUAGAGCUUUCCCCUUCGGGGGACAAAGUGACAGGUGGUGCAUGGUUGUCGUCAGCUCUGUCGUGAGAUGUUGGGUUAAGUCCCGCAACGAGCGCAACCCUUAAACUUAGUUGCCAGCAUUUAGUUGGGCACUCUAGGUUGACUGCCGGUGACAAACCGAGAAAGGUGGGGGAUGACGUCAAUCAUCAGCCCCUUAAUUUGGGCUACACACUGUCAUGGGGACAAUAAAAGGGGCUAACCCGGGGCUUGCAAUCCCAUAAAUUUGUUCUCAUUCGAAUUGUAGUCUCCGGCCCCGACUACAGAACUUGGAACGCUUUAGUAACGUAAAUCAGCAGGCUCUGGUAAAUUCCCGGUCUUUGUAACACCCCCGUCCACCAACGAAAUUUUGUACCCCGACCGGUGGAGUAACACGUUUUUGGGCUAGUCCUCCG